RNAcentral lists this transfer RNA (91 nucleotides) under Spinacia oleracea (spinach). It matches the Rfam family "tRNA". Rfam says of the family: Transfer RNA (tRNA) molecules are approximately 80 nucleotides in length. Their secondary structure includes four short double-helical elements and three loops (D, anti-codon, and T loops). The record is from Rfam by way of RNAcentral. Lineage: Eukaryota; Viridiplantae; Streptophyta; Magnoliopsida; Caryophyllales; Amaranthaceae.
GGGUGUAUAGCUCAGUUGGUAGAGCAUUGGGCUUUUAACCUAAUGGUCGCACUUAUCUUUGGAUUUUGGAAGCUCAUCUCCUCUUAACUCG